AGUGAACGCUGGCGGUAGGCCUAACACAUGCAAGUCGAACGGCAGCACAGUAAGAGCUUGCUCUUACGGGUGGCGAGUGGCGGACGGGUGAGGAAUACAUCGGAAUCUACUUUUUCGUGGGGGAUAACGUAGGAAAACUUACGCUAAUACCGCAUACGACCUACGGGUGAAAGCAGGGGAUCUUCGGACCUUGCGCGAUUGAAUGAGCCGAUGUCGGAUUAGCUAGUUGGCGGGGUAAAGGCCCACCAAGGCGACGAUCCGUAGCUGGUCUGAGAGGAUGAUCAGCCACACUGGAACUGAGACACGGUCCAGACUCCUACGGGAGGCAGCAGUGGGGAAUAUUGGACAAUGGGCGCAAGCCUGAUCCAGCUAUACCGCGUGGGUGAAGAAGGCCUUCGGGUUGUAAAGCCCUUUUGUUGGGAAAGAAAAGCAGCAGGUUAAUACCCCGCUGUUCUGACGGUACCCAAAGAAUAAGCACCGGCUAACUUCGUG
Molecule: ribosomal RNA, 492 nt
Filed under: uncultured bacterium
Lineage: Bacteria
Description: partial 16S ribosomal RNA
Rfam family: Bacterial small subunit ribosomal RNA
Source: RNAcentral